Paramuricea clavata is the source of this 1442-nucleotide non-coding RNA. The record is from the annotation of a GenBank genome assembly. NCBI's taxonomy places the organism in Eukaryota, Metazoa, Cnidaria, Anthozoa, Malacalcyonacea, Plexauridae.
CAGAGGGGAAAUAAGGUGACGCUGACCGGCUCCUCCUGUUUUUCAAGGUGACUUUUCCAAUUUAUUUAAUUCCGAGUAGAAAAUUAGAAAUGUCUGGGAAAAUUUAUGUCUUCAAUGUACUUUAUAAUCUUCGGAAUUCUGCAAGAUUUCACCCCCCAAAUGCUUGAAAUCGCAUUUCAGGGACUCUAGAUUUCAAAAUUUUCCUGGGGUGGGGGGCAUGCCCCCGAACCCCCCUAGAUGGUCUCGCGCCUUCAGCGUUCGCUUCGCCCCCCCCCCAAAAAAAAAGGGACAGAUUAUACAGAACUAAUAGUUCCUUACAAGAUAAACUGCCUUAUUAAAUAAAUCAGUCGUUUGCUUUGAAGAUUGAAACGGUUUCUUUCUUUUAUCCGUUUAUAGAGCAAAGAACCAAAGGUGGAUAUAAUAACCUAGAAAUCCCUUAAUUGGACAGCAGCCCCAUGAUUCUUCACGUGCUCGUGCGGAUUGAAUUCGUUUCCAUAGAUAUCACCGAGUUAUCAAAAUAUAUUAAAGUUUGUGAAACAGGCUACUAUACUGUACCAUAACUUAUUGAUAUUGUAUUAUGUAUAUAUUUAUUGAAGAGUGAAAGAGACAAUAUGUAAUAUUAUAUAUUAUGAAAGAUAUGAAAAACGGUGACUAAAGAUUUAAUAUAACAAUAAGACGGAAUCUGGAAAGUACAAUGUCUGGAUGUAAAAUGUAAAUGUCGAUUUGUCGUAUCUAGGAUUCUUUGUGUAAUAUGUUUGGUAUACAUUUGUGUUAUCAAUACUUGUGUUGCAUGGCUUCAAGGGCCAAACCGAAUUAAUAUAUUCUUCCCAUAUAUUUAAGUUUAAUAUAAAUUGUUCCUUAUAGUUUAAAAGAUUAUUAUAUGCUAUGGACACCCAAAAAAUACCCUGGCUAAAAUGUUACUGGUUAACUUAAUAUUAUAUUUUACUCAAUAGCCGAGGCUCCAAAAUUCCUGGUUAAAUUUGCUAAUUAUUUUAUCUCACUUUCUACCAUUGUCUACAUGGUUGAUUUAACCAUGCAGGAAUCUGGUUAUAUUUGACCAAGUCCCCCCCCCCCAAGUCAAACUGAACGGCGGGCAAAUUAUAAACGUAAGUCGGGCAAAAAUUGGGGAAAAUAACUUUUAAAAGAAGUGUAGUAUUUGAAAAUACAAGAUUUCAGUAAGACAUUAGUUUCAGUAUAAGUCGGGCACAAUGGGGAAAAGUUGGGUAAAUUUUCUUCCGCCCCGCCUAAUUUUUUCCUUCCCGUACGCCCUUGGUUAAAUUAAUUAACCAGACCUAACAUGGUCUGGUUAAUUUAACCAAGAUGUCCUCGUCAACUAUAUCCCAUGCAGCUUCUGGUUACAUUAACCAGACUAUGGCAAGAAGUGACAUAAAAAUAACCAGGAAUAUUAAGUUGAUCCAAAUAGAGUUAUUUCUAGAUUUACC